UCCUGCCAGUAGUCAUAUGCUUGUCUCAAAGAUUAAGCCAUGCAUGUCUAAGUACACGCCUACCCAGGGCAAAACCGCAAAUGGCUCAUUAAACCAGUCCUAAUCUACUGGGCAUAAAACCAGGUUACUUGGAUAACCGUGGUAAUUCUAGAGCUAAUACAUGCAAUUAAGCCGCUUAACCGCCGAGUCUCCGUUCCUUCGGGAACAGACUCGGAGGAAAGGGCGCUUUUAUUAGCUCUAUAAACCCAGUAGUACGUACUUAACGUACGUAGGCUCGUAAGUGACGAGGCUGAAUAACCAUAGCCGAGCGCUGAGGUCUUUGCACCGGCGCCAGUCCUUUCGAGGGUCUGCCUUAUCAGCUGUUGAUUGUAGGUUAUUCGCCUACAAUGGCUGUAACGGGUAACGGGGAAUCAGGGUUCGAUUCCGGAGAGGGAGCCUGAGAAACGGCUACCACAUCUAAGGAAGGCAGCAGGCACGCAAAUUACCCACUCCCGGCACGGGGAGGUAGUGACGAAAAAUAACGAUGUGGGACUCAACCGAGGCCUCAUAAUCGGAAUGAGCUUACUAUAAAUCCGUGGACAAGGAUCCAUUGGAGGGCAAGUCUGGUGCCAGCAGCCGCGGUAAUUCCAGCUCCAAUAGCGUAUAUUAAAGUUGCUGCGGUUAAAAAGCUCGUAGUUGAACUUGCCCAACCCGCGAGCGACGUAUCCGCGCGUCGCUUCGGCGGUAACGGAGUGCGCCGUCACUCGAGUCACGUCGUCGCCCGAUCAAACCUUCCUUUCGCCACUCUCGCUUUUUCUCUUCCCCUACCUACGGUUAGCCGCGUCUCCUCCGGGAGCCGGCGUUCCGAGGGGUUGAAAAUCGCCCGAGUCGAUUGGAGGGCGGGCGCACACGUGCUCGUAGCGUUCCUCCGUCCGUCCGUCGCGAAUGCCGGAGUCUUAGUCGCUCGUGGGCCGAUCCAAGUUCGUCGGUUCUCACGGGGUGCUCUUUGCCGAGUGCCCUGCGCGGCCGACAAAAUCGCUUUGAUAAAAUUAGAGUGCUUAAAGCAGGCUCUAAAGUGCAUGCCCGAAUGUUCGCGCAUAGUACGAUGAAAUAUGAUACCGGUUUCGCCUCACAUGGUUUAUAAUUCGAAACCGGUAUAAUGAUUAACGGAAACGGUCGGGGGCAUUAGUAAUGCGACGUAAGAGGUGAAAUUCUUGGACCGUCGCAAGACUAACAACUGCGCAGGCAUUUGCCCAGUACGUUUUCGUUAAUCAAGAACGAAAGUUAGAGGAUCGAAGGCGAUCAGAUACCGCCCUAGUUCUAACCCUAAACUAUGCUAACUGGCGAUCCGCUCGUGUCAAUCCCACGACCCAGCGGGCAGCCCCCGGGAAACCAAAGUCUUUGAGUUCCGGGGGAAGUAUGGUUGCAAAGCUGAAACUUAAAGGAAUUGACGGAAGGGCACCACCAGGAGUGGAGCCUGCGGCUUAAUUUGACUCAACACGGGAAACCUCACCAGGCCAGGACACCGUUAGGAUUGACAGAUUAAGAGCUCUUUCUCGAUUCGGUGGAUGGUGGUGCAUGGCCGUUCUUAGUUGGUGGAGCGAUUUGUCUGGUUCAUUCCGGUAACGAACGAGAUUCGCUCCUAUUAACUAGUCGGCGGAUCGACUCCCGAGACGGGCCCCCGCUUCGGUUUAAAAGUUCGCGUUAGCCUUCCGUCUCUCUUAGUCGGUCGUCCCCGGUCGCCGUACCGUCCUCGCGGACGGGAAAGCGGUCGGAUCAGGGCGGCCGGCGAAGGGGACGUCAAAACGGAGGCUGCGCGAGCUCCGAAGCGACGGGCCCAGCGAGGGGCGUCCGUCGUAAACCAAAACCGAAUCUUCUUAGAGGCAUUGGCCCCUUCUAGGGCGCACGAAAGCGAGCAAUAACAGGUCUGUGAUGCCCUUAGAUGUCCUGGGCCGCACGCGCGCUACAAUGCAGGGAUCAGCGCGCUAUCCCCCUCCGAAAGGAGCGGGUAACCGCUUGAAACCCCUACCCGAUUGGGAUUGGGGAUUGCAAAUAUUCCCCAUAAACGAGGAAUUCCCAGUAAGCGCGGGUCAUUAGCUCGCGU
This 2083-nucleotide ribosomal RNA is filed under the name Synidotea sp. TK-2010. RNAcentral describes it as "SSU rRNA". It matches the Rfam family "Eukaryotic small subunit ribosomal RNA", at positions 12 to 1641 of the family's 1831-position model. Lineage: Eukaryota; Metazoa; Arthropoda; Malacostraca; Isopoda; Idoteidae. The record is from RNAcentral.